GGACGAACGCUGGCGGCGUGCUUAACACAUGCAAGUUGAACGGUCAUACAUGGAAGCUUGCUGAAGUGUAUGGUAGUAGCGGACGGGUGAGUAAUGCAUGAGAAUCUACCUUGAGGAGGGGAACAACAGCUGGAAACGGUUGCUAAUACCCCGUAUGCCGUGAGGUGAAAGGAGCGAUCCGCCUCAAGAGGGGCUCAUGUCCUAUCAGCUAGUUGGUGAGGUAAUGGCUCACCAAGGCGACGACGGGUAGCCGGCCUGAGAGGGCGACCGGCCACACUGGAACUGNNNGACGGUCCAGACUCCUACGGGAGGCAGCAGUGGGGAAUAUUGGGCAAUGGGGGGAACCCUGACCCAGCGACGCCGCGUAAGGGAAGACGGCCUUCGGGUUGUAAACCUUUUUUGUAUGGGAAGAAGGACGUGACGGUACCGUACGAAUAAGUCCCGGCUAACUACGUGCCAGCAGCCGCGGUAAUACGGAGGGUGCAAGCGUUAUUCGGAAUUACUGGGUUUAAAGGGUGCGUAGGCGGUUAAAUAAGUUGUCAGUGAAAGGCUACGGCUCAACUGUAGUAGUGCUGGCGAUACUGUAUAACUAAGGACAUGGGAGGGGUACCUGGAAUGUGUGGUGUAGCGGUGAAAUGCGUAGAUAUCACACAGAACACCGGAGGCAAAGGCGGGGUACUAGACCAUAGUUGACGCUGAGGCACGAAAGCGUGGGGAUCAAACAGGAUUAGAUACCCUGGUAGUCCACGCCCUAAACGAUGAUCACUAGAUAUUGGCGACAGACAGUCAGUGUCCAAGCGAAAGUGAUAAGUGAUCCACCUGGGGAAUACGGCCGCAAGGUUAAAACUCAAAGGAAUUGACGGGGGCCCGCACAAGCGGAGGAGCAUGUGGUUUAAUUCGAUGGUACGCGAGGAACCUUACCUGGGUUAGAACGUAUGAUAGAUGUAGCUGAAAGGUUACAGACCUGCGAGGGAUAUCAUACGAGGUGCUGCAUGGUUGUCGUCAGCUCGUGCCGUGAGGUGUUUGGUUAAGUCCAGCAACGAGCGCAACCCCUACCUUUAGUUGCCAGCAGGUAAAGCUGGGGACACUAGAGGGACUGCCUGCGCAAGCAGAGAGGAAGGUGGGGAUGACGUCAAAUCAGCACGGCCCUUAUGUCCAGGGCUACACACGUGCUACAAUGGUAACUACAGAGGGCAGCGACUAGGCGACUAGGAGCGAAUCUCGAAAAGUUAUCUCAGUUCGGAUUGGAGUCUGCAACUCGACUCCAUGAAGGUGGAUUCGCUAGUAAUCGCGCAUCAGCAAUGGCGCGGUGAAUACGUUCCCGGGCCU
Molecule: ribosomal RNA, 1329 nt
Filed under: uncultured bacterium
Lineage: Bacteria
Description: bacterial SSU rRNA
Rfam family: Bacterial small subunit ribosomal RNA
Source: RNAcentral